UCCCGUUGAUCCUGCGGGAGGUUGCUGCUAUUUGAGUUCGAUUAAGCCAUGCAAGUCAGGGAGUCUUGUACUACCGGCAGACCGCUCAGUAACACGUCAAUAACUUAACCUUAGGUUCAGGAUAACCUCGGGAAACUGAGGCUAAAACUGAAUAGGGGAUUAAUUCUGGAAUGAAUUUUCCUUGAAAACUUCGGUGCCAAAGGAUAGGAUGGCGGUUGAUUAGGUUGUUGGUGAGGUAAUGGCUCACCAAGCCGAAGAUCAGUAUGGGUCUUGAAAGAGAUAACCCAGAGAGGGACACUGAGAUACUGGUCCCAGCCCUACGGGGUGCAGCAGGCGCGAAACCUUUACAAUGCAGGAAACUGUGAUAGGGGAACUCAGAGUGCUUUACUUAGGUAAGGCUUUUGCUAAGAGCAAACAUCUUAGCGAAUAAGUGGUGGGUAAGACGGGUGCCAGCCGCCGCGGUAACACCUGCGCCACAAGUGGCAACCAUGAUUAUUGGGCCUAAAGCGUCCGUAGCCGGUUUUAUAAGUCUUUUGUGAAAUCGUUAAGCUUAACUUAACGGCGAGCAAGAGAUACUGUAAGACUAGGAACUGGGGGGAGUCAGAAGAAUUUUUGGGGGAGCGGUAAAAUGUUAUAAUCCCAGAAAGACUACCAGUGGCGAAAGCGUCUGACUAAUACAGGUUCGACGGUGAGGGACGAAAGCCAGGGGAGCAAUCCGGAUUAGAUACCCGAGUAGUCCUGGCUGUAAACUCUGCGAGCUAGGUGUUGCAUAUUCUUCGUGAAUAUGCAGUGUCGAAGCGAAGGUGUUAAGCUCGCCGCCUGGGAAGUAUGGUCGCAAGACUGAAACUUAAAGGAAUUGGCGGGGGAGCACUACAAGGGGUGCGGCGUGCGGUUUAAUCUAAUUCCACACAGAGAACCUCACCAGAAACGACGGCAGGAUGAAAGUCAGUUUAAAGGGCUUACUUGACGAGCCGAGAGGUAGUGCAUGGCCGCCGUCAGCUCAUGCCGUAAGGUGUCCUGUUAAGUCAGGCAACGAGCAAGACCUGUACCUAUAAUUGCUAACUGCUUUUAUAAGGAUUGAGCACAUUAUAGGAACUGCCUUGGAAACAAGGAGGAAGGUGCAGGCAACGGUAGGUCUGUAUGCUCCGAAUUUUCUGGGCUACACGCGCGCAACAAUGGUAAGGACAAUGGGAUGCAACUCCGAAAGGAGAAGCUAAUCCUCGAAACCUUACCUCAGUUCAGAUUGAGGAUUGCAAUUCAUCCUCAUGACGCUGGAAUCCCUAGUAAUCAGACGUCAUCAUCGUCCGGUGAAUAUGUCCCUGCUCCUUGCACACACCGCCCGUCAAACCACCUGAGUAGGGUUUAGAUGAGGUUUAAUUUUGAAUUAAUUCGAAUCUAAACUUUGCGAGGAGGGUUAAGUCGUCACAAGGUA
RNAcentral lists this ribosomal RNA (1432 nucleotides) under metagenome. RNAcentral's name for it is "bacterial SSU rRNA". It matches the Rfam family "Archaeal small subunit ribosomal RNA". The record is from RNAcentral.